RNAcentral lists this non-coding RNA (90 nucleotides) under unclassified sequences. RNAcentral's name for it is "freshwater-2 RNA". It matches the Rfam family "freshwater-2 RNA". From Rfam's summary of the family: Aquatic, esp. fresh water. No recognized genes The record is from RNAcentral.
CAACGCAAUACUGCGUUUUAUGCGGUGAUUUACCCUGCCGCGUAGCGAAUAGAACUCGCAUCGGACUUCUUUAAGGAGAAAAAAAUCAUG